UACGUAGGGUGCGAGCGUUGUCCGGAAUUACUGGGCGUAAAGAGCUCGUAGGCGGUUUGUCGCGUCGGCCGUGAAAUCUCCACGCUUAACGUGGAGCGUGCGGUCGAUACGGGCAGACUUGAGUUCGGCAGGGAGACUGGAAUUCCUGGUGUAGCGGUGAAAUGCGCAGAUAUCAGGAGGAACACCGGUGGCGAAGGCGGGUCUCUGGGCCGAUACUGACGCUGAGGAGCGAAAGCAUGGGGAGCAAACAGG
This 252-nucleotide ribosomal RNA is filed under the name uncultured bacterium. Its description in RNAcentral is "partial 16S ribosomal RNA". It matches the Rfam family "Bacterial small subunit ribosomal RNA", at positions 524 to 776 of the family's 1533-position model. The record is from RNAcentral.